RNAcentral lists this ribosomal RNA (513 nucleotides) under uncultured bacterium. RNAcentral's name for it is "partial 16S ribosomal RNA". It matches the Rfam family "Bacterial small subunit ribosomal RNA", at positions 28 to 523 of the family's 1533-position model. The record is from RNAcentral.
GAUGAACGCUGGCGGCGUGCCUAAUACAUGCAAGUCGAACGCGCAGCGAAAGGUGCUUGCACCUUUCAAGCGAGUGGCGAACGGGUGAGUAACACGUGGAUAACCUGCCUCAAGGCUGGGGAUAACAUUUGGAAACAGAUGCUAAUACCGAAUAAAACUUAGUAUCGAAAGAUACAAAGUUAAAAGGAGCUCCGGCGUCACCGAGAGAUGGAUCCGCGGUGCAUUAGUUAGGUGGUGGGGUAAAGGCUUACCAAGAGGAUGAUGCAAAGCGGGGUUAAGAGACUGAUCGGCCACAUUGGGACUGAGACACGGCCCAAACUCCUACGGGAGGCUGCAGUAGGGAAUCUUCCACAAUGGGCGCAAGCCUGAUGGAGCAACGCCGCGUGUGUGAUGAAGGCUUUCGGGUCGUAAAGCACUGUUGUAUGGGAAGAAAUGCUAAAAUAGGGAAUGAUUUUAGUUUGACGGUACCAUACCAGAAAGGGACGGCUAAAUACGUGCCAGCAGCCGCCGUAA